ACGUAAGUAUAGUAUGCCUAUACGCCCGCUUGAUCAAGGCCUUGGUUCCAUGAUUCUACCAAACAAGUGUUCUGAAAUUCAAGUCUUCAACCCUCUUAUGGGCCUCAACCAUGGGAAUAUGAUCGAGGAAUUGACCAUUAAUGAGGACUAAACUCUAUCCCUGGCUGAUUUAUUUUAUAUAAUUACUACUUAAUUAUAUACAUAUACUUAAUUAGUGUCUCUAGCACAUGCUAGCUAGCUUGGAUGAGGAUUGGGUCAUGUCAUUACACUUUAGUUAUAAUAUGUUUCUAUUUAUGCCUUCAAGUGCUUUGUAUCUCAUGGAGCACAACAUAUGAUAUUCACAAUGUUGUUCUUAAAUUUUCAAUAAAUAUAUAUAAAAGAGAUUAUAUGUUUUAGAUCGAGUUCCUUCAAGCAAGCCGUAUAUAAGGGCAUGCAUACUAGCAUAUAUUGUGUACAAUUUGUUGCAAAACAACCUUGCUCAUCCCUGUUGCUACAAAAACUCAAUUAAAGUAUAUGAAGUACAAAAUAUUUAUUAAUUGGAAUUGUAAGGUAUUUGUUUUAAGAGAUAAUACUUAUGAUCAUUCAUCUUAUUUUUUGAGUACUAUUUUUCCAAGGAUUGCUUUGUGAAAUAAUCUCUUUUGAUGGUGGUAUUUUUUACACGAGGAUCAUUAUCAUGCGAAAUUUGUAGUUUAAUAACUUUAUCUUGUUUAAAACAUGUAUAUUAUAAAUCUUAUUUAAACAUGUAUAUAAGGUAUAGAGUAUAGUAUUUUAUGUGAUAUAGUAUUUUAUGUGAGAGCUUUGACAUAACACAAGCAUGAGCGGAUCUUAGUUAUGAUAAGAGGAGGUUACGGUCUCCCAAAAUUUUCUUCUUUGAUAAAAAUAAGUAUACCUACAAUAAUAUUUAUCUAUAAUAUAUAAUAUAUAAUAUAUAUAUAUAUAUAUAUAUAUAUAUAUAUANNNNNNNNNNNNNNNNNNNNNNNNNNNNNNNNNNNNNNNNNNNNNNNNNNNNNNNNNNNNNNNNNNNNNNNNNNNNNNNNNNNNNNNNNNNNNNNNNNNNNNNNNNNNNNNNNNNNNNNNNNNNNNNNNNNNNNNNNNNNNNNNNNNNNNNNNNNNNNNNNUCCAAUGUCUUGUAAAUAAUAUUAAAUUAUAUAGUAGCUUAGUGGUAAUAAAUGUUUUCGUACAUUUUAUGUCCAUGGUUCAAAUCUCCAUGAGACUAAUUUUUGAUAUUGGCCCCCAAUAAAACUUGUAUGAGACUGAUUUUUGAAAGUUCAAACAAAAUUUUAAACAAAUUUGUCAAAUAUGCAUAUAUCAGAGGUGCUUUUGUUACUAUUUGACUUGAUUGAUUUAACUUCAUUGAUUUCAAUUUCAAUCAAAUAGAAAAUGAAAUUCAUCCAUUCGUCUCUAUUCAAUUUGGAAACAAUAUUGCUCAUCAAAACAAAAACAUAUUUGUUUGCUUUUAAAAGAUGCCUACUUAUCUUCCUUUUUCAAGGUACAAAUUUUUUUAAGAGGUUUUUCAAGGUACGUAAUUGAUCUAUCAAUGAUUGUACGUAUUUGGUUGUAAAAUUUACGUGGAUGACAUAUUUAGAUACCUUUGGCCCAAGAAAACCAAUAGAGGAAGCAUUAAGGAUAUCAUAAAUGCUAAUGUUAAUGAAAGUUGAUGAAGAAUCUAAAAAAUAUCUAGCUUAAUUAUAAAGUGGAGAGAACUUAUUUUUGUUGGGUUAUAAUCAUCAACAAUAUAUCUUUUUUGAGUAUAUAGGAAGACAAUGAUGAAAGAUAUUUUUGCCAAUUAGUUCCUAAGCUAGCUUGUUUGAAAAACAUCAAAAUUAAUGAGUUAGAAGAUACACGUUUGAGUUUCUAAAGUAUAAUUUAAUUCAAUCAAUUUUAGCAUCAACCACAUUUUUAUAAAUUAUUCUCACAAGCUUUUAAUCAAUCUAACAAGUGUUUAUUUUACUUCAAAUAAAUCAAUGUAAAUAGAUCUACAUUCUAUAAUGAUAAUUAUAUUGAAUCAUCUUCACCAAAUAUUCCUUCCACUCCAUGUCUCUCUCAUCAAUUCUUUUUAUUUUUCGUAAAUAUUUUUUUAAUGAAUUGAUGAGACAGAUAGAAAAAUAGAUAUAGUAUAAAUUAAUAUUUAAUGUAGAGAUUCAUUUUCGAUAAUAAUAUUUUUAAAUAAUAUAAAAUUAGUUUUUCGUAGUUGUUUGUCAUUUUUAUAACACUUUACAUUUUGACAAUUAAUUAGUACUGUUAUGAUGUCCACAAUUAUAAGAAUAAUUUUCAAAAAUUAAUACUACACAUAAUCAACAAAUUAAUUUAGACUCACUAAAUGAAUUACUUUUUUUAAUACCAAAUAAAUGUAUUAAGGAGCAUUUCCUCCAAAUCUAUUUAUAAAACUAAUGUACAUGUAUUAAUAAAAUUGGUUAACCUCGUUAAAAAUGAAGUGAAUUUACUAAAAUUCAUUUUUCCCAUUUUAAAAUUAUGUUUGUUUUAAUAGUCAUAGAGGAACGUUCGCAGAAAAUGCAAAUAAAUUUGAUGGAAAACUAACUAAGUUGAGCUAUCUACACCACUCUCAUUUCUUUUUAUUUAAAUAAAUAUUGAUUUUUACAUAAUUUUAGUUUUAGUUUUGUAUUAUAUUUAUAUUUUAAUUUACAUUAAUAAAUUAAUUUCGACUAAUUAUAAAUUCAAGUAAUAUAUUUGACAUAAUCAACUUUAAAAAUUUGAAAACAUGAAUAUUUCAAAUAUUUUAAUUGUCAUAUUUAUAAAUAUUUUUACCGUUUUAUAUUAUUAACAUCAAUAUUACGAAUGUUUUAAGUUAUAGUUCAAUUGAAAAAUACUGUUAAAUUAGAUAUAUUUUCUUAUGUUCAAAUUGACAUCUCGUGUGAAUUAAUUACCGUAAAAUUUAUUAUAUUUUUAAUAUAAAAAAUAUCAAUGUUAUGAAUUUAUUUAUUAGUAUUUUUACUAUUUUCAAUUUUAACUAAUUUGAAUAUAAAUUUGUGUGAUUAUCAAUAUAUGGUAACAUUUUGAAUUGAGUGAAUUAAUAUAGCUAUUUUUUAAGUAAAAAUAAAUAAAAUAAAAAUUGUAUAAUGAGAGUGGAAAAAGAAAAUGAAUGAAAAACAUGUUAGUGGUCACGAAACAGAUAAGGCAGCCUCGAAAUUUUCUUCCCUGACACAGUUAGCUUCCCACCCAUACCAUACCAUACCAUACCAUACCAUCAUUCCGUGCAAGAAAUUCAAAAAUUAGUUUAGGAGUUCUUAGGAUAAAAAUUAUAAAUACAUGCUGCGGUAUCUAUCAAUUGUGACAAUUUUUCUUGAGGUUCGGGUGGCUAUAAUCCCCUUAAAUUUUUUUAAUAUCAGUUUUUUUUGUACACAAGUAUUUCGCACAAUUAUAUUAAAUUGGAGAUGGCACAAUAGUAAAUUAGAGGUUACAACUAAAAUUAAAAUAAUCAUUUCACCAACAAAAUAAUUCACAACAACUGUAUACAAAACGGUUUAAUAUAUAUUUUAAUUAAUAUUAGUCGUUUUUAUAAAACUUGUCGAGCUCCAAUCUAGUCUAUCAAAUAAAUCAUACUAGUUAUCUCCUGUUGUCACCAAAGUUCCACUCCCUAUCAAUAUUAUUAUUUCCUUUACUAUAUCCUAAGUGUUUGACAAUGUUUUAUAUUAAUUACUGGUUUAAUGCUAAGUGUCGUUGUUAGGGGCAAUUAGAGGUUGCGUAACUGGUUCUUGUAACGAAUCAAUGGAAAGAGCAAAUAAACAAAACACUGACCUUUGGCCCAAAAGCCAUAACAUCUGUAGCUGUUGUAUGACGAGAGGCAUCACUGUGAGAGGAUAAGUGGGGUCCUUGUGCCACACGCAAUCGUGUGGUUGUCGCACUUCUUAUGCAUAAAAACAAAUUGUUAAGUAUAUUUGACUUGAUUCACAACCAACCAAUGUGCUAUUAUUUUCUGCAGCAAUCCUUGUCUUACGUAAAGCAAUAAAAAAUAGAAUGGGACUACCGAAAGCUAGGCGAAUACACAAUCAAACUCACCCAAAAAAAAAAAAUCCUUGCACAAAAGUAUUUUUAUUUUAUUUUUUCUGCUUACGUAAAAAAAUUCUAUAUUUUAAAAUUUGAUCAAAAUAAUAAAAACUUUGAGGGUACAAAUCUAAUUCGGGAAAAAGAAAUAAAAAAAAACUUAUUAAUUGUGUUAUUAUUAUUUAUCUACGUCUUUAAAUACUCUUUUCUACUAAAAAAUACAAGAUAUAAAAUAAAUAUAUUAAUGAGUGUUACAAAUUUCACUUAUUAAAAGAUAUUAUUAUUUUUUACUUUUUAGAUUUUAAGACAACUUUAGAUAACUUUUAAUUUUGAUCAAGGUAAACUCAUUAACAAUCAUCACUCUAAAAGUCAUUCAAAGUACACAAUAUCAACAACCGUUCGAGUUGUGAAUUGUCCGAUAGAAAUUUGAUAUAUAACAAAUACAUAUAAAUUAAUUGCUUUAUUGAAUAUAUGUAUUAGUAUAUAUAAUUAAGUAAAAGACUCUCGAGUUUUUUUUAAUAUAUAGUCUUAGUUUUAACUCUUAAAGACAUGCAUUGACACAAGGUUGAUCCGAAUUGAAUUCUUACAUCUCAAUUCAUGCACAUAGAAUAUUUUAGAAAUUUAUUUUGAUCGUGUAUUCUUAAUUAGACGACGAUAUGCAUAUCAUAAUGAACUAACUUUUCCAAUAUUUUACAUCAAUAAUACUAUUUUUAGGGGAAAACCCCCAAGAAAACAAGAAUAAAAAAUAAAAGUUUAGAGAAAGCAAUGUAGUACUAUAAAUAAAUAAAAAAUCGUUAUAUAUUAGUAGAUUGCUUUCACUAGACUUUUAUUUUCAUAUUGUCUUGGAGUUUUCUCCCUAAAAAUAUUAUUAUUGAUACAAAAUAUUGAGAAAGUUAGUUGAAUAUAUAUAUAUAUAUAUAUAUAUAUANNNNNNNNNNNNNNNNNNNNNNNNNNNNNNNNNNNNNNNNNNNNNNNNNNNNNNNNNNNNNNNNNNNNNNNNNNNNNNNNNNNNNNNNNNNNNNNNNNNNNNNCUGUGUGUGUGAGAGAGAGAGAGAUAUUUGGAGUUUGUAACAUGCACAUUUUUUUAAUUAUUAUUAAUAAUAUGUGAAAUAUAUUUUUAUUUAUUUUUUUAAUAAUUUAUAUUGUGGUCGUUAUUAUUAUAGUUUUUAUUCAAUUAUUAUUUUUAAAAAAUAUAUAUGUGUAUAAUGAUUUAUUUAAUUUGAUUGGAUAUUUUGGUAAAAAUUUGAAAAAAAAUAUUUAUAAUAAUGACACGAUUUAAUUAUUUCUAGAAAACAAAAACAAUAUAUAUAAAUUAAAAAUAGGCAAUGAAAACAAAUGCCUAUAAUUUAGGAAGUGAGAUAUAGAAUAGCAACUUCCAUAACACUUCAGCUCCCAUAGAUGUCACCAACCUCCCUAAAAAUAUUCAAGAAAAAAGGUCCCAUCUUAUAAGGCUAUGUGGUGAAGCUGAAGGUUAUUUGGAGAGACACUACUCAUCCAUUUUAGGCUCAUACCAAAACCCUCUUCAACAUCUUCAUAUUUUUUCUUACUAUUCAAACGACCUUAUACUUGGUCUCCUUGAGUUUUCUAUCCUUAGCCAACACUCCACACACACGUCCCAAACAAAAUUGCUUUUAUAGGUUCAGGUCCUCUUCCUCUUACUUCAAUUGUUUUGGCUUCAAAUCAUUUACCUUCAACCACUUUUCACAACUAUGACAUAGACCCUUUAGCCAAUUCAAGUGCUACACACUUGAUUUCCUCUUACCAUGAUUUGUCAAAAGGUAUGGUUUUUCACACCAAUGACAUAUUGGAUGUGUCAAAUGAUUUGAAAGACUAUAAAGUUGUUUACUUGACAACCCUUGUGAGUAUGGACAACGUCGAAAAGAAUCGAAUAAUUGAUCACUUGGAUAAGCACAUGACACCAGGAGCACUUCUUAUGUUAAGGAGUGCUCCCGAAGCUCAUACUUUUCUCUAUCCAGUUGUUGAAUAUUAUGAUUUUCGAGACUUUGAAGUCAUCUAUGUGUUCCAUCCUAUAGACGAAGUUAUCAACUCUGUUGUCAUAUAACUUAAGUAUAGUAUGUCUAUACACUCACUUCAUCAAGGCCUUGGUUCCAUGACAAGUGUUCUGAAAUUCAAGUCUUCAACUCUCUCUCUUAUGGGCCUCAACCAUGGGAAUAUGAUGGAGGAAUUGACCAUUAAUGAGGACUAAACUCUAUCCCUUGCUGAUUUUCUUUAUAUAGCUACUACUAAUUAAUUAUAUACAUAUACUGAAUCAGUGUCUCUAGCACAUGCUAGU
RNAcentral lists this long non-coding RNA (6295 nucleotides) under Cicer arietinum (chickpea). RNAcentral describes it as "long non-coding RNA (CARI_LNC000877)". Lineage: Eukaryota; Viridiplantae; Streptophyta; Magnoliopsida; Fabales; Fabaceae. The record is from RNAcentral.